RNAcentral lists this ribosomal RNA (253 nucleotides) under uncultured bacterium. RNAcentral describes it as "partial 16S ribosomal RNA". It matches the Rfam family "Bacterial small subunit ribosomal RNA", at positions 524 to 776 of the family's 1533-position model. The record is from RNAcentral.
UACGAAGGUGGCUAGCGUUGUUCGGAAUCACUGGGCGUAAAGCGCACGUAGGCGGACUUGUUAGUCAGGGGUGAAAUCCCGGGGCUCAACCCCGGAACUGCCUUUGAUACUGCAAGUCUUGAGUCCGGGAGAGGUGAGUGGAAUUCCUAGUGUAGAGGUGAAAUUCGUAGAUAUUAGGAAGAACACCAGUGGUGAAGGCGGCUCACUGGCUCGGUACUGACGCUGAGGUACGAAAGCGUGGGGAGCAAACAGG